AGGUAUUCUCUUACAAUAGGCUAAUUAUUGUAUCCCCUCUGCUGACCAGAUGUUCUCACAGGGGCUCACUGGUUCACACAGGCACUGCUUUUUUCUUAAGGAUGAGUAGCUGAAGAUGAAGAUAAUAACUGAGGAACCGAGACCUGCUCCAGCAAAACACCUAAGCAUACAAUGAAGUAUUCUUUUGAUCAAGAGCUGAGAUACUUCAAAGAGAGAUGUAUUAUGGCAUCAUGGAGAAAGUGGCUUGAUGUUUUGCCUCAUUCAGGAGGUAAACCAGACUGUCUUCAUGGUUCAUUAAUUUACCGGCUAACGUGUAACACCAUCCAAGAGUUCUCCAGUCCAACAGCAGAGCCAGGCACUGCUGUACUGUCUUUGAUGACAGCGUGCUAAUCCUGCAGAGCCGCAUAUUUGGCUGACACUUUGAAUGGCUGCUGUGGCCUCCUGUCAAAUUACGCAGCAUCUACUUUAUUCCAUGCUUCAUGGUUUGGGACUUCUGGCAAAGCAUGAGAUCAGCCUCUGCUCAAUAGUUCAUAUGCUGGCUGUGAGACCUUUUGCGGCCUGCAGCUUUUCUGUCCACCAAUUUUGGAGGAGCUUUGCCUGCAGAAGGCUCACUACUCCUUUCUGUAGAGGACCAGAAUACAUGUCACUCUGCUGGGGAUAUUUUGAGUUCUCUAGUACAUUUCCAGGUGAAAAAGUACAAUCCUGGCUAGAAAGCUGA
This 718-nucleotide long non-coding RNA is filed under the name Zonotrichia albicollis (white-throated sparrow). Its description in RNAcentral is "lncRNA (ENSZALG00000011138.1)". Lineage: Eukaryota; Metazoa; Chordata; Aves; Passeriformes; Passerellidae. The record is from RNAcentral.